UGUCCCUAGUCCCUGGACUAUGGCCUGCGUCUUAUAGGGACAGCCAGACUCCUUGGCCUGGGGCUAGAAGCCCCCUGGGAGUCACGGGUCCUUAUGCCCUCUUUCCUGGGGGCCAUCUCUGGUGGGCUGGGAGGAAGGACAGGCUCCACGCAGGAGAUGACGAACUCUUCCCCAGCAAAAAGGUUUCACAGAUCAAAGAGACACUUGUGCUUGUCCCCAGACCCAGGAGCAUGGGCAGGGAGGUGACAUCAGGUGUUUGGCCUUUCUGACAUCCCUGGUCAGAUUUAUUGCCGCUGUUUGCUAACACGUAGUUCUACCCUUGGUUUAAGGAUCAGGUGGGCUUAAUAGGAGAACCGGCUGUGUCCCCGCCCCAUUUCCUCAGCUGGCCGGACUGAUUUAACUGAUUGGUUAAUAACUGAGUGCAAGGUGGCUGGGAUAAUUUUUAUCUUAGAUUCUGUGAAUCUAUAACCUGUCCUAAAGCUGGACUAGAAAAAAAGUAUUUGUUCCGCUAACCUUUAAUCCCCUUUCUCUUGAGUAGUCGCACACAGAAUAUUUUUCAAGGGGUGGGUGAUGUACUUUGUCUUUUUGACUUUCCAAUAACUUUUUCUUGGAUCCCUAGAAUAAAAACAGCAUCACCACAAAUGUUUAGUAGAGAGGUGUCGGGGACCAGAGGAAGUGUGGGACACACCGUCAGACCCCUGGUUCACAUCCUGGGUGUGCCUCUAUCUUAUGGGUGAUCUCGGGCGAGUCUCCUGAUUCUCCUGGGCCUCAGUUACCAUUUAUAAAGUAGACCCUGAAGACCCUGUGAUUUUGAGACUUCCUUCAGACCUGUGUGUGCCGGGAGCCCUGCUGGUGCCGUUCAUCCCUAGGUGUAUUCAUCCAUUCACUCAAGGGCUCUGUGUGUGCAGGCAGUGUUCCCAGAGCUGGACCAUAACAGAGCGCCCACCAGGCUCGGUGGCCCGCGCCUAUAAUCCCUGAGGCUGAGGAAGGUAGAUUGCAAGUUCGAGGCCAGCCUUAGUAACUUAGCAAGACUCUGUCUGAAAAUAAAAAGUAAAAAGGGCUGGGGGUGUAGCUACGUGGUAGAGCGUGCCUCCCGGGGUCAGGACCUUCACAAACAAACAACACAACACAACAGGGGCCUCAUCUUGUGGUGCUUGGAGUCUUGGGGGAGACAGACUGGGAAUGGGUAGUUGCACGGCAGUUG
Molecule: long non-coding RNA, 1204 nt
Filed under: Marmota monax (woodchuck)
Lineage: Eukaryota; Metazoa; Chordata; Mammalia; Rodentia; Sciuridae
Source: RNAcentral